Molecule: long non-coding RNA, 91 nt
Organism: Aricia agestis (brown argus)
Lineage: Eukaryota; Metazoa; Arthropoda; Insecta; Lepidoptera; Lycaenidae
Exons: 4
Source: RefSeq, a predicted model, not a curated record
GCGCGUUUUAAUUUUUUUCGAUCCAGAUACCGCGUUUUACGCGCGUUUUUACGCUACAAACAUGGACUCGAAGUUAUCACGCUCCAAUCAA